UCUGGAGCUGGAGCUGGAGCUGGAACUGGUUCCGGAGCUGGUGGUGGAGCAGGGGCUG
Molecule: small RNA, 58 nt
Filed under: Caenorhabditis elegans
Lineage: Eukaryota; Metazoa; Nematoda; Chromadorea; Rhabditida; Rhabditidae
Description: Unclassified non-coding RNA F47B8.17
Source: RNAcentral